This 272-nucleotide ribosomal RNA is filed under the name uncultured Stichotrichia. RNAcentral describes it as "partial Bacterial large subunit ribosomal RNA". It matches the Rfam family "Bacterial large subunit ribosomal RNA", at positions 1999 to 2278 of the family's 2925-position model. The record is from RNAcentral. Lineage: Eukaryota; Ciliophora; Spirotrichea.
GCGUAACGACUUCCCCGCUGUCUCAACCACGGACUCAGUGAAAUUGAAAUCUCGGUGAAGAUGCCGAGUACCCGCGGCAAGACGGAAAGACCCCGUGAACCUUUACUAUAGCUUCACAUUGAGCUUGGGUAUAAGAUGUGUAGGAUAGGUGGGAGACUGUGAAGUGGGGACGCUAGUCCUUGUGGAGUCGACGUUGAAAUACCACCCUUCUUAUACUUAGGUUCUAACUUCACGCAAAUGAAGGACAUUGUGUGGUGGGUAGUUUGACUGGG